UACGUAGGGGGCAAGCGUUGUCCGGAUUUAUUGGGCGUAAAGAGCGUGUAGGCGGCCAGACAGGUCCGUUGUGAAAACUGGAGGCUCAACCUCCAGACGUCGAUGGAAACCGUCUGGCUAGAGUCCGGAAGAGGAGAGUGGAAUUCCUGGUGUAGCGGUGAAAUGCGCAGAUAUCAGGAAGAACACCCGUGGCGAAAGCGGCUCUCUGGGACGGUACUGACGCUGAGACGCGAAAGCGUGGGGAGCGAACAGG
RNAcentral lists this ribosomal RNA (253 nucleotides) under uncultured bacterium. RNAcentral's name for it is "partial 16S ribosomal RNA". It matches the Rfam family "Bacterial small subunit ribosomal RNA", at positions 524 to 776 of the family's 1533-position model. RNAcentral also lists the same sequence under 1 other name. The record is from RNAcentral.